UACGUAGGAUGCAAGCGUUGUCCGGAAUUAUUGGGCGUAAAGAGCGCGCAGGCGGUAUGACAAGUCAGAUGUAAAAUAUCCCGGCUUAACCGGGAGGGGCCAUUUGAAACUGGGUAACUAGAGUGAAGCAGAGGAUAGCGGAAUUCCCGGUGUAGUGGUGAAAUGCGUAGAUAUCGGGAGGAACACCAGUGGCGAAGGCGGCUAUCUGGGCUUUAACUGACGCUGAGGCGCGAAGGCUAGGGGAGCAAACAGG
Molecule: ribosomal RNA, 253 nt
Filed under: uncultured bacterium
Lineage: Bacteria
Description: partial 16S ribosomal RNA
Rfam family: Bacterial small subunit ribosomal RNA
Source: RNAcentral